This 257-nucleotide ribosomal RNA is filed under the name uncultured bacterium. RNAcentral describes it as "partial 16S ribosomal RNA". It matches the Rfam family "Bacterial small subunit ribosomal RNA", at positions 524 to 776 of the family's 1533-position model. The record is from RNAcentral.
CACGUAGGGUGCGAGCGUUGUCCGGAAUUAUUGGGCGUAAAGAGCUCGUAGGCGGUGUGUCGCGUCGGCCGUGAAAACCUGCAGCUUAACUGUGGGCGUGCGGUCGAUACGGGGCAUCACUGGAGUUCGGCAGGGGAGACUGGAAUUCCUGGUGUAGCGGUGAAAUGCGCAGAUAUCAGGAGGAACACCGGUGGCGAAGGCGGGGUCUCUGGGCCGAUACUGACGCUGAGGAGCGAAAGCGUGGGGGAGCGAACAGG